RNAcentral lists this ribosomal RNA (484 nucleotides) under uncultured bacterium. RNAcentral describes it as "partial 16S ribosomal RNA". It matches the Rfam family "Bacterial small subunit ribosomal RNA", at positions 29 to 507 of the family's 1533-position model. The record is from RNAcentral.
AUUGAACGCUGGCGGCAUGCUUUACACAUGCAAGUCGAACGGCAGCGCGGGCUUCGGCCUGGCGGCGAGUGGCGAACGGGUGAGUAAUGCAUCGGAACGUGCCCAGUAGUGGGGGAUAGCCCGGCGAAAGCCGGAUUAAUACCGCAUACGACCUGAGGAUGAAAGCGGGGGACCGAAAGGCCUCGCGCCAUUGGAGCGGCCGAUGUCGGAUUAGCUAGUUGGUGGGGUAAAGGCUUACCAAGGCGACGAUCCGUAGCUGGUCUGAGAGGACGACCAGCCACACUGGGACUGAGACACGGCCCAGACUCCUACGGGAGGCAGCAGUGGGGAAUUUUGGACAAUGGGGGCAACCCUGAUCCAGCCAUGCCGCGUGCGGGAAGAAGGCCUUCGGGUUGUAAAGCGCUUUUGUUCGGGAAGAAAUGCUCUGGGCUAAUACCCCGGGGGGAUGACGGUACCGGAAGAAUAAGCACCGGCUAACUACGUG